This 244-nucleotide long non-coding RNA is filed under the name Ictidomys tridecemlineatus (thirteen-lined ground squirrel). Its description in RNAcentral is "lncRNA (ENSSTOG00000032696.1)". The record is from RNAcentral. Lineage: Eukaryota; Metazoa; Chordata; Mammalia; Rodentia; Sciuridae.
CUGUGUCUUUCCCUCAGAUCCUAAGCUCCAUCAUGGUCCCCUACCUGGCAACUUCAACCAUAUCCCUGAUUCUCUUCUUGCUGGCCAGUGGCUCCCUGCCCCCUUCUCAAGACAGGACAAAAGCACCGCAUGCUGGGACUCGGUCUCCCCGGGUGUUCUGGCUUCCCUCCCGUUAGCGACGGUGGCAGCAGUGCAGACAGAUUGAGGCCCCAAGAAGGCGGACUCCCCGACUGCGCAGCAGCAG